RNAcentral lists this ribosomal RNA (727 nucleotides) under uncultured Coriobacteriales bacterium. RNAcentral describes it as "bacterial SSU rRNA". It matches the Rfam family "Bacterial small subunit ribosomal RNA", at positions 28 to 774 of the family's 1533-position model. Lineage: Bacteria; Bacillati; Actinomycetota; Coriobacteriia; Coriobacteriales. The record is from RNAcentral.
GAUGAACGCUGGCGGCGUGCUUAACACAUGCAAGUCGAGCGGUAAGGCCCCUUCGGGGGUACACGAGCGGCGAACGGGUGAGUAACACGUGAGGAACCUGCCCCCCUCUCUGGGAUAACUCCGGGAAACCGGAGCUAAUACCGGAUACUCCGGCGAGAUCGCAUGGUCUUGUCGGGAAAGCUCCGGCGGAGGGGGAUGGCCUCGCGGCCCAUUAGCUAGUUGGUGGGGUAACGGCCUACCAAGGCUGCGAUGGGUAGCCGAGCUGAGAGGCUGAUCGGCCACACUGGGACUGAGACACGGCCCAGACUCCUACGGGAGGCAGCAGUGGGGAAUAUUGCGCAAUGGGCGAAAGCCUGACGCAGCAACGCCGCGUGCGGGAUGAAGGCCUUCGGGUUGUAAACCGCUUUCAGCAGGGACGAAACUGACGGUACCUGCAGAAGAAGCCCCGGCUAACUACGUGCCAGCAGCCGCGGUAAUACGUAGGGGGCUAGCGUUAUCCGGAUUCAUUGGGCGUAAAGCGCGCGUAGGCGGGCUGUUAAGUCAGGUGUGAAAACCGGGGGCUCAACCCGCGGCCUGCACCUGAAACUGGCAGCCUCGAGUCUGGUAGAGGAAAGUGGAAUUCCCAGUGUAGCGGUGAAAUGCGCAGAUAUUGGGAGGAACACCAGUGGCGAAGGCGGCUUUCUGGGCCACGACUGACGCUGAGGCGCGAAAGCUAGGGGAGCAAACA